AGAGUUUGAUCCUGGCUCAGAUUGAACGCUGGCGGCAUGCCUUACACAUGCAAGUCGAACGGCAGCAUGAUCUAGCUUGCUAGAUUGAUGGCGAGUGGCGAACGGGUGAGUAAUACAUUGGAACGUGCCCUGUAGUGGGGGAUAACUAGUCGAAAGAUUAGCUAAUACCGCAUACGACCUGAGGGUGAAAGUGGGGGACCGCAAGGCCUCAUGCUAUAGGAGCGGCCGAUGUCUGAUUAGCUAGUUGGUGGGGUAAAGGCCCACCAAGGCGACGAUCAGUAGCUGGUCUGAGAGGACGAUCAGCCACACUGGGACUGAGACACGGCCCAGACUCCUACGGGAGGCAGCAGUGGGGAAUUUUGGACAAUGGGCGAAAGCCUGAUCCAGCAAUGCCGCGUGUGUGAAGAAGGCCUUCGGGUUGUAAAGCACUUUUGUCCGGAAAGAAAUGGCUCUGGUUAAUACCUGGGGUCGAUGACGGUACCGGAAGAAUAAGGACCGGCUAACUACGUGCCAGCAGCCGCGGUAAUAC
This 529-nucleotide ribosomal RNA is filed under the name uncultured Ralstonia sp. RNAcentral's name for it is "bacterial SSU rRNA". It matches the Rfam family "Bacterial small subunit ribosomal RNA", at positions 8 to 526 of the family's 1533-position model. Lineage: Bacteria; Pseudomonadati; Pseudomonadota; Betaproteobacteria; Burkholderiales; Burkholderiaceae. The record is from RNAcentral.